GGCGAUUCAGUCGCUGGGUGUAGACCCGAAACCAAGUGAUCUACCCAUGGCCAGGAUGAAGGUGCGGUAACACGCACUGGAGGCCCGAACCCACUCCCGUUGCAAAGGUAGGGGAUGAGGUGUGAUUAGGAGUGAAAAGCUAAUCGAACCCGGAGAUAGCUGGUUCUCCUCGAAAGCUAUUUAGGUAGCGCCUCGAGCGAAUACC
RNAcentral lists this ribosomal RNA (205 nucleotides) under Chaetoceros curvisetus. Its description in RNAcentral is "partial Bacterial large subunit ribosomal RNA". It matches the Rfam family "Bacterial large subunit ribosomal RNA", at positions 691 to 894 of the family's 2925-position model. Lineage: Eukaryota; Bacillariophyta; Thalassiosirophyceae; Chaetocerotales; Chaetocerotaceae. The record is from RNAcentral.